CCUGACGCAGCGACUCCGCGUGUGGGAUGACGGUCUUCGGAUUGUAAACCACUGUCGGGAGGGACGAAGCUCUGACGGUACCUCCAAAGGAAGCACCGGCUAACUCUGUGCCAGCAGCCGCGGUAAUACAGAGGGUGCAAGCGUUGUCCGGAAUCACUGGGCGUAAAGGGCGCGUAGGCGGCCUGAUAAGUCGGGGGUGAAAUUCUGCGGCUUAACCGCAGGACGGCCUUCGAGACUGUCGGGCUUGAGCACGGUAGAGGCUGGUGGAAUUCCCGGUGUAGCGGUGGAAUGCGUAGAGAUCGGGAAGAACAUCGGUGGCGAAGGCGGCCAGCUGGGCCAUUGCUGACGCUGAGGCGCGACAGCGUGGGGAGCAAACAGGAUUAGAUACCCUGGUAGUCCACGCCGUAAACGAUGGGUACUAGGCGUCGGGGGGGAGCGACCUCUUCGGUGCCGUCGCUAACGCAGUAAGUACCCCGCCUGGGGAGUACGGCCCCAAGGCUGAAACUCAAAGGAAUUGACGGGGGCCCGCACAAGCGGUGGAGCAUGUUGGUUUAAUUCGAAGCAACGCGAAGAACCUUACCUGGGCUUUGACAUGCACGGGAAAGCCGGUGGAAACAUCGGUUCCUCUUUCGGAGUUCCCGUGCACAGGUGCUUGCAUUGGCUUGU
RNAcentral lists this ribosomal RNA (666 nucleotides) under uncultured bacterium. RNAcentral's name for it is "bacterial SSU rRNA". It matches the Rfam family "Bacterial small subunit ribosomal RNA", at positions 382 to 1063 of the family's 1533-position model. The record is from RNAcentral.